Molecule: long non-coding RNA, 4246 nt
Organism: Leucoraja erinaceus (little skate)
Lineage: Eukaryota; Metazoa; Chordata; Chondrichthyes; Rajiformes; Rajidae
Exons: 3
Source: RefSeq, a predicted model, not a curated record
GGGCAGGUACUAUCGUGUGUGAAGGUAGACAAAUCAUAAAUCCCUGACCAUAUCGAACAUAUCGAGGACAUUGUGGGAAACCAGAGAUUAAAUUGCGGGAGUCUCUGGUUGAAAUUUACAAGUCAUCUUUAAAUAUAGGAGAGGUGCCUGAAAGCAGGCUAUUAUCUAUUAUCUAAAUGGUGGCCGAUUGGGAAAGGGGGAGAUGCAGCGAGACCUGGGUGUCAUGGUACACCAGUCAUUGAAGGUAGGCAUGCAGGUGCAGCAGGCAGUAAAGAAAGCGAAUGGUAUGUUAGCUUUCAUUGCAAAAGGAUUUGAGUAUAGGAGCAGAGAGGUUCUACUGCAGUUGUACAGGGUCUUGGUGAGACCACACCUGGAGUAUUGCGUACAGUUUUGGUCUCCAAAUCUGAGGAAGGACAUUAUUGCCAUAGAGGGAGUGCAGAGACGGUUCACCAGACUGAUUCCUGGGAAGUCAGGACUGUCUUAUGAAGAAAGACUGGAUAGACUUGGUUUAUACUCUCUAGAAUUUAGAAGAUUGAGAGGGGAUCUUAUAGAAACUUACAAAAUUCUUAAGGGGUUGGACAGGCUAGAUGCAGGAAGAUUGUUCCUGAUCUUGGGGAAGUCCAGGACAAGGGGUCACAGCUUAAGGAUAAGGGGGAAAUCCUUUAAAACCGAGAUGAGGAGAACUUUUUUCACACAGAGAGUGGUGAAUCUCUGGAACUCUCUGCCACAGAGGGUAGUUGAGGCCAGUUCAUUGGCUAUAUUUAAGAGGGAGUUAGAUGUGGCCCUUGUGGCUAAGGGGAUCAGGGGGUAUGGAGAGAAGGCAGGUACGGGAUACUGAGUUGGAUGAUCAGCCAUGAUCAUAUUGAAUGGCGGUGCAGGCUCGAAGGGCCGAAUGGCCUACUCCUGCACCUAAUUUCUAUGUUUCUAUGUUUCUAUGUGCCGGAAGACUGGAGCGUGGCAAAUGUUGUAUCUUUAUUCAAGAUGGGCUGCAGGGAAAAUUUUGGGAACUAUAGGCCAAUGAGCUUAACAUCUUUAGUUGGAAAUUAACUAGAGGGUAUUCUGAGGGACAGGAUAAACAGGCAUUUGGACAGACAAGGGCUGAUUAGGGAUAGUCAGCAUGGUUUACUAUGUGGGAGGUCAUGACUUACAAAUUUGAUUCACUUUUUUGAAGAGGUGACCAAAAAGGUUUAUGAGGCCAGAGCUGUAGAUGUUGUAUAUAUAUGGACUUCAGUAAAGCAUUCCACAAGCUUCCUUAUGGACGGCUGCUUCGGAAGGUUAGAACGCAUUGAAUCCAAGCAGAGAUACAGGACUGAAUGGAUAGAGAAUUGGCUUUAUGGAGGGAAGCAGAGGGUGAUGGUGAAGGUUGCUUCAUGGACUGGAUGCCUGUGACAAGUGGUGUGCCUAAGGGUGUGGUGUUGUGCCCGUUACUGUUUGUCACUGUUAGGCGCUUCCCCCUCCUGGUGAAUGCUAUGUACUUACCUUUCUCUGUUUCUCUCCUGAGUACAGGCCUCGUGGCUGUGAGUCUGGAAUCAAGGGGUUAAAGGCUCCUGUACCCGAUUGGCCAAGCUGCGUCAGGUGACGGGUGACUCAUCUGAAGCUUAAAUACCAGAGUCUCCCAGGAUUCUCUCUCUUCUUCGUCGACCCUGACUGAUGAGCAGACUGCUGGUGUGGGCUGAGGGAGGCCUGGCCACAUGGCAUAGAACUUUGUGUAUUUUCACCAUUCCUUGGUAACAAAUAUUGAAUUGGGACGGAUAAGGGCUGACCUUAGUGUUUUUGUGUGUUUUGUUUCAGGGUUAUAUCUCUUUAGGCAGGUUUUAGAGUCUCCGGUUCGACGGUCCAUCACGUGGCUGGCUGGAGCAUUGUUAAAUUGUUUGUCAGUUCAUCCAUAUCCAUGACUGGGUUGUUUAAAUCAGGUUUGGGUUUUGUGUUCCAUUGAAUAAUUAAAACUAUUUUUGAACGAACCUGGUUUUUGCCUUGUGUUACGCGGCUCUGAAGUACCUGCAUUCGGGAGUCGUAACAGUCACCUAUAUCAAUGAUUAGGAUGAGAACAUAUAUGGCAAGAUUAGCAAGUUUGCUGAUGAUACAAAAGUGGGUGGUUUUGCAGAUAAUGAAGAUGGUUGUGAAAAAUUGCAGCUUGAACUUGAUUAAUUGGCCAAGUGGGCUGAGGAAUGGUGGAUGGAAUUUAAUGCAGAAUAAUGUGUAAUGUUGUAUUUUGGGAUGUCUAACAUGGGGAGCACCAAUGGAGCGAAUGGUAAGACUCGGAAUAGUGAUGUUGAGUAGAGGUAUCUAAGGGCGCGGGUGCAUAGCUCCGUGAAGGUGGAGUUGCAGGUAGAUCGGGUGGACAAAAAGGCUUUUGGCACAUUUACCGACAUCAGCCAAAAUAUUGAGUAUAGAAGUUGGGAGGUCAUGUUGCAGUUAUAUAAGAUGUUGGUGAGGCUGCAUUUAGAGUAUUGUGUUCAGUUCUGGGCAUCUCUGGGUAGAAGGAAUGGGUGACAUUUCGAAUUGAGACCUUUCUUCAGACUGAGAGUCAGUGGAGAGGGAGACACAGAGAGAGGAUGUUGUUCCCUGUUCCAUGCAUACACUGGCCCUAUCCCCAAAUCUCUAUCUCUGUUACAUUGGUGUUACCCCCUGCACCUAUACAGAACUCAUGGACUUCAUUAACUUCACCACCAAUUGUCAUCCUGCACUCAAAUUCCGAUGGUCCAUCUCAAACACCUGCCUUUCCACUCUUGAUCUCACUGUCUCCAUCACAGGAGAUAGACUGUCGACUGACAUCUAUUAUAAACCUACAGACUGCCACAACUAUCUCGACAGCACUUCUUCCCACUCUGCUUCCUGCAAAGAUUCUAUUCCCUGCUCCCAAUUCCUCUGUCUACGCCGCAUCUUGUUUUCCGUACCAGGACAUCUGAGAUGUUCUCAUUCUUUAGGGAAUGGAGGUUCCCCUCUUCCCUCAGAGAUGAGGCCCUCACACGGUUGCAUGGUGGUACAGCGGUAGAGUUGCAGCCUUACAGCGAAUCGAUCUCCGGAGACCCGGGUUCGAUCCUGACUAUGGUUGCUGUCUGUAAGGAGUUUGUAUGUUCUCCCCGUGACCUGCAUGGGUUUUCUCCGAGAUCUUCGUUUUCCUCCCACACUUCCAAAGACCUACAGGUAUGUAGGUUAAUUAGCAUGGUAAAUGUAAAAACUGGACCUUGUGGUAUAGGAUAGUGUUAAUGUGCUGUAUGCACGGUAUAUGUUUAACCUGGAAAUCAAAGGUAAAACCUAUUUUCAAAUAGCUAAAACUUUCAGUGUGUUGAUUUCUGGAUCUUGUUGCCUGUGGGCUAGUUGCCAACCCCUUUGUGACGGCAAAAUAUGUUCAAGAGAGAAACAGGUACAAGAGAGAAAACCUGAGGGAGAGUUGACUGAGGACUGUUGGGACUGAAAGUAGCAAUUAAAGGAUAAUUCACGUGUUCAAACAUUCACAUAUCUUAACUUGUUUAGUUAAGGAAUUCCUUUCAGCAUUGCUUACAGGUGCAAGUUGUCAAUGCAUCAGUUGCUACAUGUUGCCAGCUUCUCUUCGCUUUUCUCUUGGGUGCAGCAGAUAGUUGCCCUCUUUCUGAAACCAUGAGCUUGCCUCUCCCUCUCCUAUGCCUCCCCUACCGUCAUUUGAUAAACUUUCAAAUUCACAGAAUUCAUAGUUUAUGACUUAAUGGGAAGUGUUCUUUGAUGUAAAUUGGCACCAGAAAAUACUGGGAUUUAUUCAUUGCUGACAGCUGGACACAUGCCAGAUAACUUUGUCAAUUGCUUAUGACCCCGUUUAUGUUGGACACACCUUAUCACACUAUUCAUUCCAUUAUCCCAAAGUUCAGCUGUUUUUUGUGUUUCACUCCUGGCAGCUCCGUGUCCUGGUGUAAACUACACCUUUGCCUCAAGCACAGCAGGAAAGAUAUUUUGUAAGUCUAGAUGCAUGUUUCCCACCCACCUGAAUACCUGUAACAAUCACUUCAGUGUAAAGCAAAGAUACUACAGGAGCAAGAUAGACCACGAGGCGAAAAAGCCGUAGUUGGUCAUGGGCGUCAAGGGUUCCCCACUAAAGACGAAAGAUGUCAACAAUGGGUCCAGAAUACUCGUUGACAAGAUCUCCGACACCGAACUACGUACUUUUCAAAGAACUGCCUUUGUUCUGAACACACUGUAUAUCUCACACAUAAAACAAUGUAAAUUGUGUAAAUCUUACCAUAAAUGACAGAAAUAAAAAGUGUUAUCCUUG